GAACACUAGUUCCCAUAUGAUCACCAAAGUUAAGCAACAUCGAGCAUAGUCAGUACAUAGAUGGGUAACUACUUGUGAAUACCAGGUGCUGUAAG
Non-coding RNA from Acanthosepion pharaonis, 95 nucleotides. Lineage: Eukaryota; Metazoa; Mollusca; Cephalopoda; Sepiida; Sepiidae. The record is from the annotation of a GenBank genome assembly.